GUGUUUGCUUUGGCAGCACAUACACUAAAAUUGUAAUGGUACAGAGAAGAUAAACAUGGCCUCUGUGCAAGGAUGACAAACAUAUUCGUGAAGUGUUCUAUAUUUAA
Diceros bicornis minor is the source of this 107-nucleotide small nuclear RNA. The record is from RefSeq and is a predicted model, not a curated record. Lineage: Eukaryota; Metazoa; Chordata; Mammalia; Perissodactyla; Rhinocerotidae.